RNAcentral lists this ribosomal RNA (1397 nucleotides) under uncultured bacterium. Its description in RNAcentral is "bacterial SSU rRNA". It matches the Rfam family "Bacterial small subunit ribosomal RNA". The record is from RNAcentral.
GAGUUUGAUCCUGGCUCAGAAUCAACGCUGGCGGCGUGCCUAACACAUGCAAGUCGAACGAGAAUGUGUAGCAAUACACAUGUACAGUGGCGAACGGGUGAGGAAUACAUGGGUAACCUACCCUCGAGUGGGGAAUAACUAGCCGAAAGGUUAGCUAAUACCGCGUACGCUUCCCGGACUGCGGUUCGGGAAGGAAAGCGAUACCGUGGGUAUCGCGCUCUUGGAUGGGCUCAUGCCCUAUCAGCUUGUUGGUGAGGUAACGGCUCACCAAGGCUUCGACGGGUAGCUGAUCUGAGAGGAUGAUCAGCCACACUGGCACUGCGACACGGGCCAGACUCCUACGGGAGGCAGCAGUAAGGAAUAUUGCGCAAUGGGCGAAAGCCUGACGCAGCGACGCCGCGUGGAGGAUGAAGGCCCUUGGGUUGUAAACUCCUUUUGUCGGGGAAGAAAUGCGAUCAGGUGAACAAUCUGGUCGUUUGACGGUACCCGGCGAAUAAGCUCCGGCUAACUCCGUGCCAGCAGCCGCGGUAACACGGGGGGAGCAAGCGUUGUUCGGAAUCACUGGGCGUAAAGGGCGUGUAGGCGGUUGAGUAAGUGGGAUGUGAAAUGCCUCGGCUUACCCGGGGACCUGCAUCCCAAACUGCUCGGCUUGAGUACGGGAGAGGAUGAGGGAAUUCCUGGUGUAGCGGUGAAAUGCGUAGAUAUCAGGAGGAACACCGGUGGCGAAGGCGCUCAUCUGGCCCGAUACUGACGCUGAUGCGCGAAAGCUAGGGGAGCGAACGGGAUUAGAUACCCCGGUAGUCCUAGCCGUAAACGGUGAGCACUAGGUGUUGGAGGCAUCGACCCCUCCAGUGCCGCAGCUAACGCAUUAAGUGCUCCGCCUGGGGAGUACGGCCGCAAGGUUGAAACUCAAAGGAAUUGACGGGGGCCCGCACAAGCGGUGGAGCAUGUGGUUUAAUUCGACGCAACGCGAAGAACCUUACCCAGACUUGACAUGCAUUGGACAGGUGUGGAAACACACUCUCCCUUCGGGGCCGGUGCACAGGUGCUGCAUGGCUGUCGUCAGCUCGUGUCGUGAGAUGUUGGGUUAAGUCCCGCAACGAGCGCAACCCUUGUCCUUAGUUGCUAACGGGUAAAGCCGAGCACUCUAAGGAGACUGCCGGUGAUAAACCGGAGGAAGGUGGGGAUGACGUCAAGUCCUCAUGGCCCUUACGUCUGGGGCUACACACGUGCUACAAUGGCUGGCACAAAGGGUUCCGAUACCGCGAGGUGGAGGCAAUCCCAAAAAGCCGGUCUCAGUUCGGAUUGCAGUCUGCAACUCGACUGCAUGAAGUCGGAAUCGCUAGUAAUCGCUGAUCAGCAGGCAGCGGUGAUACGUUCCCGGGCCUUGCACACAC